Equus caballus (horse) is the source of this 724-nucleotide non-coding RNA. The record is from RefSeq and is a predicted model, not a curated record. NCBI's taxonomy places the organism in Eukaryota, Metazoa, Chordata, Mammalia, Perissodactyla, Equidae.
UAUGUGAGGGGCUGGCCGGUUAUUCUUCACCAAGGGGCGACCCUGCACCCCUAGGCAUUAAUCGGCUGGACCCUGUCAAACAGCCGAUCAAAUGAUGUAGCCACGGCUCCCAGCAUCUCUGCCUUCCCUGGCUUUCCAGGCAAUCAUUGACUGACUUUCCUUUUCAAUAGAUUAGUUCAUGUUUCUCUGAUUUAACAUAGGCAUCAUAAGGUGUAUACUUUUUUUUUUUUUUUUUUACCAGUUUCCUUCAUGCUGCAUAAUUCUUUGGAGAUUCAACAAUGAUGCUUAUGUUGUUCAUCUUUUUACUUGUUAGGAUGGAGCGGCAACUUCCAACUUCUUACAUGCUGGACUGGAAACCAGAAGGACCCUCCUGCCCUUUUUAUUUCAUCCUUCUCAACAAAGAAAGUUAUGAUACAGUGACACUGCUGUGGUCUGAAUGUUUGUGUUCCCCCCUAAUUCACAUGUUGAAAUCCUUACCCACAAAGGUGAUGAUAUUAAGAGGUGGGGCCUUUUGGAAGUGCUUAAAUCAUGAGAGUGGAGCCAUCAUGAAUGAUGCCUUAUGAAAGAGGCUCCAGAGAGAUCCCCAAGCCCUUCCACCAUGUUAAGGAUGCAACAGGAAGUUAAUGACCCUGAAAAAUGCCCUGACCUGACCAUGCUGGCACCUGAAUCUGUGACUUCUGGCCUCGAGUACUGUGAGAAAUAAAUUUCUUUUGUUUAUAAGCUA